Molecule: long non-coding RNA, 924 nt
Organism: Schistocerca americana (American grasshopper)
Lineage: Eukaryota; Metazoa; Arthropoda; Insecta; Orthoptera; Acrididae
Exons: 3
Source: RefSeq, a predicted model, not a curated record
GUAACUGGGCACUUUCAACACAAGCAAACAAGACCACACAACUGUAUGAUGAUUAGCAAAAUGUAAAAUAUACACCUUUCACUUACUGCAAGUAUUUCACUUUGGCAUAAAUAAAGGUGACAGAGGAACAGGUCAUACUGGGAGCAGUAGGUCUGUGACUUGGAUGCAGCACAGUUACUGAUUUGAUGCCAUUAAGGCACAAAGCUUUGUAAUGAUUAAAAUGGUGAGUGAAUGUAAAUCCUGGAAGUGUUAUUUCUUUAUACUAAAACCUGCUACUUUAAGUUAUGUUUCAGAAAUUUCUUGAGCAUCUCGACUUGAAAAAUAACAGGAAUACCAUUUAGAAUAUUACAAGUGAGGACAGUCAGUCAAUGAUAAUCCAUGAGCUUAGGCUCAAGGAAAAAAAUUCUAUAUAUGUAAUAAAAGUUGAUUGUAAUGUGUGAUGUUGUAGACAUACAAUAAUCUGUUUUGUGCUAUCUUUUCCAUAAUGAAUUUGGUGACAACAUGUGGGUCAAAACUGGAAUGAGCAAAGAAUACCAACCAAAUUUAAGACCCAAAAACCAGAAAGAGCCACGACCAGCGGUGGAACACACGCAAGUUUGAAAAAUUUGUUCCAAAUGCACACUAAUAGUGAUUUUUUUUCUUUUUGUUGUUGUUGAUUGUAGAUGUACAUAUAUGUUCCUGUCUCCUGCUAAAAAUGAACCAUCCCAACUAGCAAAUUUUACUUUGUUAUUUAGAACUUUUUUAAUUGCAUUAAUUAAGAGCCACCUGCACUUUGAGAGGACUAAAACUGUUGAGAUUUUAUUAUUCAUUCAAUAACAAGAUUAAUAUGUGGGGUAUGUAAAAUGUGUGUACAUGUUUGUUUUGCUCAUACUUGUACAAAUGUUUCAUGUAACCUGACGAGGCGAACCCAAGAUUCAAGAAGAA